Molecule: non-coding RNA, 66 nt
Organism: Podarcis lilfordi (Lilford's wall lizard)
Lineage: Eukaryota; Metazoa; Chordata; Lepidosauria; Squamata; Lacertidae
Source: the annotation of a GenBank genome assembly
GCAGCUCAGUGGUAGAGGGCCGGCCCUGCACACAGAAAGUCCCAGGUUCAAUCCCUGCCAUCUGCA